Molecule: non-coding RNA, 30 nt
Filed under: Homo sapiens (human)
Lineage: Eukaryota; Metazoa; Chordata; Mammalia; Primates; Hominidae
Source: RNAcentral
UGAGAUAAUGGGGAUCUCCUGCAAGUAACU